This 885-nucleotide long non-coding RNA is filed under the name Capsicum annuum. RNAcentral's name for it is "long non-coding RNA (CANN_LNC018309)". The record is from RNAcentral. Lineage: Eukaryota; Viridiplantae; Streptophyta; Magnoliopsida; Solanales; Solanaceae.
GAGGAGAUGAUUUCUUUGGUGGUGGUGGUGAAGUGUAGUAAUAUGGUGAUGGAGGAGAUUUCUUGGGUGGUGGAGGAGAGCUAUAGUAGUAUGGUGGAGGUGGUGACUUAACUGGUGGUGGUGGAGAAGUGUAGUGAUAUGGUGGAGGAGGUGAUUUCUUGGGUGGUGGAGGAGAGUUGUAGUAGUAUGGUGGAGGAGGUGACUUAACCGGCGGUGGUGGAGAAGUGUAGUGAUAUGGUGGAGGAGGUGAUUUCUUGGGUGGUGGAGGAGAGUUGUAGUAGUAUGGUGGAGGAGGUGACUUAACCGGCGGUGAUGGAUAAGUGUAGUAGUAGUAUGGUGGAGGAGGUGACUUAACCGGCGGUGAUGGAUAAGUGUAGUGAUAUGGUGGAGGAGGUGAUUUCUUGGGUGGUGGAGGAGAGCUAUAGUAGUAUGGUGGAGGAGGUGACUUAACCGGCGGUGGUGGAGAAGUGUAGUGAUACGGUGGAGGAGGUGAUUUCUUUGGUGGUGGAGGAGAGCUAUAGUAGUAUGGUGGGGGAGGUGACUUAGCCGGCGGUGGUGGAGAGUUGUAGUAGUAAGGUAGAGGAGGAGACUUCUUUGGGGGUGGUGGAGAGGUGUAGUGAUACGGUGGAGGGGGUGAUUUCUUUGGUGGUGGUGGCGAGGAGUAAUAGUAUGGUGGAGGAGGUGACUUCUUGGGUGGGGGUGGAGAGCUGUAGUGGUAAGGUGGAGGUGGUGACGACUUAGGGGGAGGUGGAGAUUUAUAGUAGUAAGGUGGUGGAGGUGAUGGUGAUGGUGGUGGAGGAGAUUUAUAGUAGUAUGGUGGCGGUGGUGAAGGUGAUGGUGGAGGAGGAGACUUGUAGUAAUACACUGGAGGUGGUGACGGUGAUG